Molecule: transfer RNA, 91 nt
Filed under: Ignavibacteria bacterium
Lineage: Bacteria; Pseudomonadati; Ignavibacteriota; Ignavibacteria
Description: tRNA-Ser
Rfam family: tRNA
About the family: Transfer RNA (tRNA) molecules are approximately 80 nucleotides in length.
Source: RNAcentral
GGAGAGGUGCGGGAGUGGUUUAACCGGCACGCCUGGAAAGCGUGUAGGCGUCAAAAGCGCCACGUGGGUUCGAAUCCCACCCUCUCCGCCA